Molecule: long non-coding RNA, 539 nt
Organism: Gigantopelta aegis
Lineage: Eukaryota; Metazoa; Mollusca; Gastropoda; Neomphalida; Peltospiridae
Exons: 6
Source: RefSeq, a predicted model, not a curated record
UGGAUCCUGAUUGGGUAUUGAUCGUUUCAAUCGUGUUGGCUAUCUUGCUCCUGUUGAUCAUCAUCAUCAUCAUCAUCAUAUGGUGGAAAAGACGUCGACAACAACCUACAGUCGGGCAGACCAAUAUACAGUUUGAUGAUGCAAGGCCUGACACCCUGGGUCACAGCACAGAGGACACGAAGUCCGGACCACACUCCAAGUCUGACGCCCUGGAUCAUAGCAUAGAGUACACGGAUUCCGGAUCACACUCCAGAUUGUGACAAUUGUGAAGUGGAAUUACUCUCAAUUAAGGUUAUCUUCCAUGAAAGGGCGGAGGUCCUCAAAGAGUCCGAGUCAUAAAUCCUCAAACAGUCAUAGAGACAAGUCCUCAGAAAGACAGCAUCAUAAAUCCCCGGAGUGACGCUGACACAAAUCCUCGGAAAAACAUUGAAAAAGAGAUACUGUCCUCAUGUGUCAAUCACGUGUUAGUUUAUUCAUUAUUUGAUGAUGUUCUGUAAUGGAAAUUUAAUGGAGAGGUGUAAAUAAAGUGUAAAGAAGGA